This 1139-nucleotide long non-coding RNA is filed under the name Cricetulus griseus (Chinese hamster). RNAcentral's name for it is "lncRNA (ENSCGRG00015030264.1)". The record is from RNAcentral. Lineage: Eukaryota; Metazoa; Chordata; Mammalia; Rodentia; Cricetidae.
GGGGAUGGCAGAUACAGACUGACCACUGAGUCACCACCCUGUGCUGGGCUAUAGAAGCUCUUGCCGCCCCCACCCCCGACCUGCCCUGGGGUUUGGACUACCAAGGAAGUUAAUUUGGGAGUUCUUGGGUCAAAGCACCCCAAGAUGGGUUUGGCAAUCUGUCCUCAGUGGCUUAUUGAAGAGACAAGUCAGUGAGAAGCAGAGAAGGGAGAGUUACUCAAUGUGACUACUUGUGAAGAACAAAUAAGGAGGCGUAGUGACACCCUAAGUCCAUCUCUGGGGUACUAGCACGAAGCUUAACUCCAAAUAGAAGGGUGAGCACCAUGGCUAGGAGGUCAUAGUGUGAUCUUCCUUGCUCAGCUGGCAGAAGUGGAGACAGAUCACAUGGCGGCUCCAUGGAGAAGAGAGGAGAAAGAGGAAGAGAAAGAGAGCAAUUUCUUGCUUGUCCCUGCUUAUAUUCUGAGUCUGCCUGCUAUGUCACUUCCUGCCUGGAUCACAAGACUUAUCUUUACUACAUUUCCCAGAAUCCUCCUUGACUCCUAGUCCCACCUAACUUGCUUCCUCAUUGACUCCUAGUCCCGCCUAACUUCAUUCCUCACUUUAUUCAACAACCAAUAAGAUAAAUAUACACAGAAGAACUUGCUGUAUCACACUCCCAAACUCAUCUAUGUCAACCCCACACCCCCCCAAACUUAUCUAUGUAACCCCACACCCCCAAACUCAGGGAACAUGGUGGGAAAGGAGGUAAAAAGACGAUGAGAUGGAGGGUGGGGAUGAGUGUUGUGAAAUGCUGCCUCUGGGCACAUGGCGGUGACUUUCGUGGACUUGCAGCAGCUGCAGGUACCUGCACAAGAUCAAGCUGGUCCGCAUUCCAUCAGGGAUGGGAGGGCUCUGCUCCUCUCUGGGGAGCUAUUUGCAGUUAAUGGCAGCUGGAGGAGCGGGGUUAUUUUUCUUCAGUGAUGUAGCUUAGCUAUUGGUUAAGCCGCUCAUGCUCCUGUGCAUGGUCCCACACCCACACGCAUGCAAGAAACACUAAUUAAACUCUGUGUCGUAAAAAGAGGUCACACGUGUAGGAGGGUGAUGACUUCUUGAAGGGACCCAGAGGGAGCUGGAGGGGGACUAAGAAAGGGUAAUGGAGG